UUUGAUGUCAUGUUAAUAUUAUCCCCCUGAUUCUGAAAUCCUGGCUUAAUGAUUCUUCAGUAAUGUUUGUUGAUAUUCGUCUCCUGAUUUUCAUUCCCUGAUACCCCAAUUGGUUUUGGUAGGCGUUUAUCUUGUGGAUCAUGUUUAUGUCACUGAGUAAUUGUUUUCAUCUCCAAUACUUGCAUGGAUUAGACUGAUUUAUUUUGCUAAACCUUUAAUUGAUAAUAUUAGCUUUUACUUUUCUGAUUUGAUUUAUGAACUAAAUGUCCAACGCCUGCUAUGUGCUUCUCAUUCUCAACUUUUUCUGUGUACUAUAAUCGAGCUAUUUCUACAAGUUAAGUGUUAAUGGAUGGUUUCCCUCUUCUGGUCAUUUUGAUUCAUUGUUUUUGAUACUAAAUGAUCAUCCUGAAUAAUGUUUGGUUACUAAAAAUCCACAUUAAGGCACUUGUUUUAAAACCUGAUUAGUUUUGGCUAAUUUUGAAAUUCAAUAAGCCUGUUAGUCCAAGACUAAAUUUGACCCAAACUUGAACAUAAUUGACCUGGGUCAAUUAUAACCAAACCAGAUGACAAACUAACGUUAAAACUUCAGGUUGGUUAAUUAGGAAAAGAAAUAGGGGUACAAGGGGUAUUUGAGGACCGGAUGACAAACUAAGGUUAAAACUUCAAGGUGGUUAAUUAGGAAAAGACAUAGGGGUACAAGGGGUAUUUGAGCUUUAAAAAUCUGGUAAUAACCCCUAGAACAUUCUAGUGAGGGACUUAGACACAAUUUCAGCCUCAAACUUGAGGCACAAGUCAGGAAAUGAAGGACCAUUUAGGAAAAGUUGAAAUCUGAAUCAGGGUCUAAAAGGAAAAACAAGGAAAAAAGUGGAGCCCUAAGGCUCUACAAUAAAAAAGAAACCAUCUGAACAUUUUGAAGGAUCCUGGACCUUUCUUCUUUUUUUUUUUUUGAAUUCUAGAAGAGAAAAAUACGUAUUAGUUCUUUCUAUAUCCUUGAUUAACGAUCAGUGAUGUUCUUAUUCCUUUAAGAUUUUAAUUCUCUCAAAAAUCUGCUAAGAUCCUGGGUGUACUGUUAGAUUGGCUGCUGUUUUGCUUGUUGAUUGCUUUCAUUUUACUCGUAGGCUUUUGUCCUUUGCUGAAUUCCAUGUACCUUCUUGUUCCCCCUUUGAUAGGUGAAGCUCAAGUAAAAUGUAUUCCCGAAUCUGAAGAUAUGCAUCUAUUAGUUUCGUUUUGAAUCCCCACCCUGUUUCCCCCUUCUUUAGCUUUAAUAUACAUAAUGAUAAGAUGAUUGCCCUCUAGUAAUUAGACAUUUGGAUUGAUUCAAAUUUUGUAAUAACUGGACAUUGGUACUGGCUUAUUUUGUAAUAUCUGGACAUUUGGACUGUUAUUUUAGGUAUGUACAAUUAGUAGUAGUAAUAUUAGCUAGUGGUAAGACUAUUUCAAAUGGUUG
RNAcentral lists this long non-coding RNA (1447 nucleotides) under Nicotiana benthamiana. Its description in RNAcentral is "long non-coding RNA (NBEN_LNC010368)". The record is from RNAcentral. Lineage: Eukaryota; Viridiplantae; Streptophyta; Magnoliopsida; Solanales; Solanaceae.